This is a non-coding RNA of Callithrix jacchus (white-tufted-ear marmoset), 7589 nucleotides long. The record is from RefSeq and is a predicted model, not a curated record. NCBI's taxonomy places the organism in Eukaryota, Metazoa, Chordata, Mammalia, Primates, Cebidae.
AUCUACGACACUGCAACCUCCACCUGAUGGAUCCUCCUGGCCUCAUGUGAUCCAUCUGCCUGAGCCUCCCAAAGGGCUGGGAUUACAGGUGUGAGCCACCACACCCAACUCCAAACCUGGAUUCCUAAUGUUUAAAGUACUUGAAGAGGAAUGUGGAUCCCUGCCUAUUCUGAGACAGAAAUAGGAUAUUUCAUUCAGAACUCAAAGUGAUCAUCCUACGGCAGGACUGUGCAACUCCUUCAAAGAAGAAUGAUCUCUGAAAGCUCUUAUUACCUUCCCUGACACAGCAGUUGUCUGUGACAUUACCUAAUUUGAGGCAGAUGAAUGAUAAUUCCUUUCCAUUCUUCAAAAGCCACAUUGCAAAAGAAAGCUAGAAGGAAGUCUAGAGAGAAAUUCUUAUUGAAUUUUGAAAAUAUAAUAUGUUUCAUUUGUAACAAUUCAUAUAAACUGUCUCUGGUAAAGAUGCACACAGAUCUUAGUUGAGCUUACAUAAAAUUUUACAAAGUCACCAUUUCCUGUAAUGUAAAUUACAUAAUGCUGUCUUAUGUAAUUGUUUAAAUAACAUGUGUUGAACACUCAGUAUGUGACAGGCAGUAUUCCAAGUACUUUACACCACACCAACCUGGGGAGUUUACAGUGAGAAAUAUUCUCUCUUUACAGACAUAAUAAAUGCACAGAAUGAGUAACUGUCCAAGGUCACUCAGGUAGUGAGUGUCUUAAUUGUGACUUGAACCUGAACAUUCUUGUUCCAGGGCCUACACACAUAAUCAGGUUUCUAGAUGGCCUUUUGCUAUCCCAAUUUGUUAUGCAUGAAAAAAGCAAAAUUAUACAUUAUGUGGGGAGCCACUGCACACUGAAUCACUUGUUACCCACCCUGCUCCUAUUCUAAGAUGUCUUCCUGCACUCUAAAUGUUGGAAACUCAAAAACCACCUUUCCAAGAGUUCCUUGCCACUAGACUUCUACCUGUGCUCUAGCCUCUGCCAAGUAUUCAGUUGUCUAAGCCUUGGAAUGUGUGGAAAUGAGAUACAGGGAUGGCAGCAAAGACAUGUGAUAGGUGCUUUUGAGCAUGCUGGUCUAGUCUUUGGCAUUAUAACUGUUGAGCAGUGGGUAGAAGCAGCAGCAAGAUUUCCUCUAGAACACUCUUAGAGUAUGGGUGGAAGCUUCCAUAACUGUUUACUGUCCUGUAAUAAAAUUCUUGCUAUUUAAGCUACUAGAUUACAUUCUCUGCAAACAAGAUCCAUAAUGAAUGCAGAGGGCUUCAAGCCUACGAAGGGAUAUUGGUACAGGAAGUUCUCUGACCCUUGGUGUCCCUCCAAGUGCUGGAAAAUUGAACUAGAAGGCUAAUUUUAAAUUUAAAAUUUUUCUGAUUUUUAAGACAGAAGGUUCUGAAUAGGGUAGACAGGAUAUCCUUCAUCAUUUGCUUAAGCAAUUUUUUCUAUAGAGGUUAUCUCCUCCCUCCUGAGUUAGCCAUAUGACAAAAAGCAUUGCAUUUCUGGGAGAAAAUGUGCCUCUUGUGCUGUCUUGAAGAAUAACUAAACCAAAACAAUUAAGGAGAUCCUAAAUGAAAAUUGCCUAUUAUAUGAGUCCAAUCAAUUCUGGAAAAGCAAUAAUGGAAUGGGAGUUUUCUGAUCUCUCUUGUCUUUAUUUUUCUUUUCCUGCCCUCUUCCAACCCCCAAGUCAAGGGGAAAAUGGGAAUGGCACUGGACCUUGAAGGAAUGGUGAAUAUGGUGGUGUGGAAAGCCUCCCUGGAAGGGAACAGUCAUUGAGAAGGGCAGGAUGUUUUUGAAACAGGGAGUCUACAAGUUUCUCUGGGGUAAAAGCAAGUGCAGAGAAGCAGGGGAAGAUAAGGUUGGGGAGAGGAGCUAAGAAAGAUCUAAGGAGUUAGUCUUCCAUUUUGUGGAUAGGCUGACAGUUUUUUUAGUAGGCUUUUAAAACAGUCUUUUUUCAGAAGAUUAAUAUGAAAUUGGUAAGUUAGAUAACUGGAGGUGGGAAAGAAACAGAAGGAAAAUAGUAAUGAAGCUGCUUCACUAACCCAGCAAUGGGAAAUAAACACCUGAAAUAAAAAACUGGAAACAGAAAGGACAAUAGUUAGUAAAGAUGUACUGGUCUAACUUAAGAAAUUGUUAUGGAAACUGGGUAUAAAAAAAGAUCUUUAAAAAGAUAAGAGUGAACAUUAUUGUCAUGCUCUCUCUAUAUAUAUAUAUAAAAGAAUACACACAUAUUAAAGUAUAAAAUGUGAAGAUUAAUCAUCCUUGAAGCAUAAUCCCAAAUACAGUGUUAGAAAAAGAUUGCAAAUAUGAGGGAAUGCAGCUUCUCACAGACCACUCAUUCUUUGUAGUUGUUUGUUAGUGGAAAAAAUAGUUACUUCACAAUUGAAAUCACUAGCAACAAAUAUCCGAAAGCUUCUGGGUCCACCACAGCAACUCUCUCUCCAUCUAGACACAAUUAUGUUUUCCAGGCUGUAAACUAGGAGAAGCCUCAUGCUACUGUUCUCAUGAGUCUGAAAAAGGAGGUCAUUCUUUUGAGAUUGUUGAGUGUUUCUCUGAGGUUCUUUAUCCAGCUGUGACUUCUGUUUUUAUUUUGCUUAUACAUCUUUAUAAAAGUGACAUUGGAAUAUUUACCUUUCAAUUGAAACCUGCAAGGGUCAUAGCAGAGCUCAAGAUUACUUUUUAUUUUCCCUCACAGAAAAUUUUAAAAAUACAAAAUGUAUUUUCAGUCUAGGGUUGCAUCUCUCAUAGUAUUUAAUUUCAAGUAGAUCAUUGGAGAGCACAUGCUAUAGACCAGUCAUACUUGUGCAUUCAAUUUUCCAAGUCAUGAGAGUGCCCAGAAGGGGUUCAUUAUGCUCCAACUCUUGAGUAGUAUGCAUCAGACCAGUACCAACCUGGUGAUUAAGGGACUCUAAAUCUGUUUACAGUAACAACUUAUUUUUCUCAAGGUAAUUUAUUUUUCAAUUUUAGCUACCCUAGGACACAUUAAGGAUGAGGAACCAAGUUUAAAAUUCUCUUACGGCCUAAAAUAGAUAUAGCAAUGUCUACUGCAUAAAGCCCAUAUGCUUUCCAUGGGUAAAUCCCUUGGGGAAAUAUUACUGUUAUUGUAGAUCCAAUAUUAGAAAGAUUGUGGCUUUCCAGGCCACAACAAAUUAGAAGCAAGAAAUUGCAAGGGGAAGGAAAAGAUGAUAGAGACAAAUACAGUGAGUGCAUCAAAUAGUAAACGCUAGGCGUUUCACUUUAAGAAGAUAAAGAGAAAUAGAAUCCUUAUUUCCCCAGUCGUGGAAAAAUUAUUUGGAAGUACAGUUGUAAGUAAAAUUCUUGUCUAAUCCUAUAGCAAGUUCUGGAAAAAUUAUGUCCCCAUCCAGUACCUGUACAAUUGGGUCCAACACUCAAAGACGUGCAGCCCUUGCCUUUGGCCUAAUAUUGCUCUUAUGCCAUUCUUAGCCCCAAGGUCUCACAGGACUUUCAGUUAAGUUGAGCUUCAGUAGCAGAGGACCUAAGAAAUUCUACCAUUUUACUGUCUUGCACCUUGAUUCUUAUAUGUUCCUGCUUUGAAUGUUUGGGGCAAUGAGCUAGGCUGGAAAGCUGAUAGUAUAAAAUUAUUUGGGCUUCUGUAGAUGUCCUCUGUGCUCGACAGCCCUCUGUUCUCUCCCACUUUAGGAGAGUUUCUUCCAGGGACAGCCUGAAAACUCAGGUGUCUGGGAAUUAAAUAAUGAGAUCUACAAUCAGAACCAUGGGGACUGAGUAUUCAGUUUGACCCCUUCUAAUAAGAAGAGUUGUAGCACUCCAAAGCCUUUAGUAAGAUAAAUAACUUUCCAAACCUCAAAUACUCCUGAGACCAUUAUUGUGUUAUAGCACAGAGUAAUCCUUAAUUUUGCUAAUGAUGACCCUGAGUCAUUAUGAAAAGGUUAAGUUAUCCAACAUAAAGUUUAAUCAAGCAAUGCCUACUAUACACAAAAAGGCAAGGAAGAAUUGAAUACAUUUUGAGAAGCUGCCCAUGAAAAUGUUUUAUCACUAUUAAGGCAAGAUAACUUUAGGCUAUUUGGUAAGUUAAAUUCUGUGAAACACUUAUGUACUGUCAGUGCUGGUUAAAUGAAGCGUGUCUGUAUUUGACUGUGUUUUCUCAUAAGACAAUGUUAUUAAUCAAUAAACAUGAAUACCAUGUCCCUACCAUGCCUAUGAUGUCUGUGUCUACAGAGCCUAAAUUAGUUUAUAAUUGACACUUUAAAAUCCUUUUUCAGUAAUUCAUGCAAUAAUCCAUAUGGUUGGAAAGCUUGUGCGAAGUUGAUCAAACCAUUUUCCCUGUUAUUUUUAAAAAUAUAGAUCUGACCUAAAGAAACGAAUUUACUUCCUAAAGAGAAGUAUAAAUUCAACCUCAAUAAAACUAAUGUUUCAUAUUUGAUGAUAAAUGCCUUCAGAUAUUAACUGGAAAGACAAAUUUUGGGAGAUAUAUAUGGAUUAGUUUCAUUUGCUCUUGAAUUUUAAAUUUAUGCAUCAUAGACAGGGUGUGGUGGCUCAUGCUUGUAAUUCCUGCACUUUGGAAGGCCGAGGUGGGUGGAUCACUUGAGGUCAGGAGUUCAAGACCAGCCUGGCCCACAUGUUGUAACCCCACUCCUACUGAAAAUACAAAAAUUAGCUGGGCAUGUUGGCAGGCAUCCAUAGUCUCACUACUCAGGAGGCUGAGACAGCAGAAUUGCUUGAGCCCAGGAGGUGGAGGUUGCAGUGAGCUGAGCUCAUGCCACUGCACUCCAGUCUGGGUGACAGAGCAGGAUUCUGUCUCGAAACAAGUGAUCCAUUGUGGAUAUAAGUAGCAAUUACAGAAUUUGUACUUUCUUCCUUCAUGAUUUUUGCUUAAUUAUAAUUUUUAUGUCAGCAGGAUUGUUUAAUAUUUUUAUUCUUUAAUGUCAUAAUAAGUAAUACACAUUCAUGUUUAAAAAUCCUUAGUAAGAUAACUAAGAUUUUUAUAGAUUUAUUUAUUCCACAAAUAUUACUUGAGUGUCUACUUUGUGCCAGUACUAGGGACACUACUGGGGACACCUUAAUGGACAAAAAACAUCAGCCUUUCUAGAGUUUACCUCCUGGCGAGGGGGAGAAAGGGAGUAUGUGGAAUAGUAGUUUACACUUACAUAAUGCUUUCUAUGUGCCAAGCACUGUUCUAAACACUUUCCAUAUAUUAAUUCAGUUAAUUCCUCACAACGUCUUUAAAAGAUACAAACUGUCAUUAUCAUCUCCUAUUUUAUGCACAAGGAAACUGAGAUACAGAGAGGGUAAGCAGUUUUUUAACAUUGCACAGAAAGUAUUAGAACAACACUUAAAACCCAGGCAGCCUGGCUUCAGUUGCAUGUGUUCGUAAGUAUUGCACAUACAGUAUAGUCAUGUUACUAUUCUGCAGAAUUUAGAAAAUCAUAACAAUAUGAGCAGAAUCAACAAUUCAGUAGGAAAAUUUAGUUACUGAAAAACAGGUUAAUUUGCUCAUAGUAAUAACAGUAGAAUAAUUUAUAAUUUCUAUUCCAGAAAACCUGAAUUCUCUUAUAAGUCAUUAUGUAGAGAUUACCCAAGUAGACUCACACUUAAGACUCUUCAAUAUGAUUUGGCCUUAAGUUAAUGAUUCACUAGAAAUUUUAACUCGUCUCCUAAAGGUGCAGAUUUAGUAACUCUACUUGAGAAUCACUUAUUCACAUUUCUGAUGAUGAUUCUCUUCCUUGCUGACAAACAAGGACCAAAAGGAACAUGGACAACAUUAUGAAGUCAGCAAAGAUGAUUUACUUUACCCCCAACGUCCUUCUGCCUCUUUUCCACUUUCUCCUUAGAAACUUCAGAGUAUCUUCCACUUACUUUUGUCUUAUUUCUCAUUUUUACACUAUCACACUGAGGGUACUUAUCAUCAUAGCUAAAAAAAUUGAUCGGUUAGUAGGCGUAUGUCUCAUAACACUUUCCCUUCUGGCAGUCUAUUUGUAUUUUGUCCUAGGACAUUUUGAGGGAAUGACUUAAUUCUAGGAAGUGCCUCUAAGUCACUGUUAGGCACUAAGUAGGACUAAAGGAUCUGCGUUCUGGUCAUUUGAUCUCUGGAAGUCCCCCCAGAUACUCUUGUUAGGAAACUACCAACCCUGUGCCUGUAGGACUAGUUUUUGUACAAGAAGAUAAAUGCAGUGUUAUUAAAUUAAAGGCAACAUUUACUUAUGUUUAUCAUUAAUCUCUUGUAGAGUUUGCCUUUAAAAAAUGUAGAAACUUAACUGAUAUGAAGUUUUCAAAAUAAUUGGAGUCGGAGAAAGUGAAUAGAAGUACAGAUAAAAUAAGAUUGGCCAUGAGUUGACAAUUAUUAAAGAUGUGUGAUGACUUGAUAACUACUGAAUCACGAGAAUUCAUUAGGUUAUCUUUCUAUUCUUAUGUCAUUUUUUCACAAUGAAAAGUUUUAGAAAGAUACAGAAAUUAUAUAUACAAAAAAUACUUUGACAUUUUGCUCUAUGUCUAAUUCAGCCAGGGUUAAUAUCCAAUGUGAAAUUUUGGUCAUGCAUUGCUAAGAAUUUAUGUAGAUGAUAUUAUGCAUGUGGUACUAUAAAAAAUAAUAAAUCAUCUUUAUUAAAAUGAUGACUGUGUUCCAUGACUAAGAUAUACAUUCCUUGAUUUGAGUCAUAGGGGAAAAAUGUGUUCUUUCUUUAAAAUAUUUUUGAGUAAUGAAUGCUGAAACAUAACGAAUAAAAACACAUGCUCCAUUUAAAAUGAGAUUUCAAGUCUGUGUCCCUUUAAUUACUUUAUAUACCAAAACAAAUGUUUUUAAAUCAUAUUUUGAUAUCCUAUGAAGGAUAAAUUUAUUUGUGCCUUCUUUUGAGCUCUGCAAACUCAGAAUUUUAAAAAUGUUAGCAUACAGAUUUGAAAUGUUUUUCUUUUCUUGUUAGUGUUUUUCUAUACACGAUUUAUUUAUUUAUGCUGGAUAAAGCCAUCCUUUACAGAAGAGAAACAUUUAAAAUAUAGAAAAUUUUAAAGAAAAAAGGCAUCUGCAGAUCUUUAAUCCAGAAGUAUCAAUGAAAACCCUUAGGGCAGUGAUGGCUUUUCACCAUACCUCGGUACUGCCCCAGAGAGUUAGGGAGACAGCAGCUGGGAUUGUUAUGUUCUGUCCAAAAGGCCUCCCAUUCUCAGCAAAUAAUUCCUUGCUUGAAGCAUGACACAAAAGCAUCAUCAGAGCUAUAGGAUGUCGAAAAGAACCAGGUGAUGUCUGCUAACCUGUGUGCAUCUGUGGUCAAUGGCAGUUGGCUCUCUGUAUGCUCUGCUGGCAAGUGAGACCUCAGGACUUACAAAUAAUCAGCGGGUGUUCAAUCUUGGUGGAAACUGAGUGAUUUUACUCCCGUUGCACAGAAAGUUUGCUGUACGUAGGAAAUCCUCACCCCGCAUAUAUGUUUGCUGUGUGUAAAGGACCAAAGGAUUGCCCUAUUUACUCUAGUGGAGGACAGUGGAAGAAGACUGGGUUUGAGGGGGAAGUAUUUAUGAGCUCAGUUUGGAAAUGUUGAAUUUGAGUUGCCUUUAACACAUCUAAGAUGUCAAGUAGGCAGUUGGAGAAGAUAAAAUUUAAGUUAGGUUGAUAAAGAGACAAGAGACUUUUC